Molecule: ribosomal RNA, 490 nt
Filed under: uncultured bacterium
Lineage: Bacteria
Description: partial 16S ribosomal RNA
Rfam family: Bacterial small subunit ribosomal RNA
Source: RNAcentral
AUUGAACGCUGGCGGCAGGCCUAACACAUGCAAGUCGAACGGUAACAGGAAGAAGCUUGCUUCUUUGCUGACGAGUGGCGGACGGGUGAGUAAUGUCUGGGAAACUGCCUGAUGGAGGGGGAUAACUACUGGAAACGGUAGCUAAUACCGCAUAACGUCGCAAGACCAAAGAGGGGGACCUUCGGGCCUCUUGCCAUCGGAUGUGCCCAGAUGGGAUUAGCUAGUAGGUGGGGUAACGGCUCACCUAGGCGACGAUCCCUAGCUGGUCUGAGAGGAUGACAGGCCACACUGGAACUGAGACACGGUCCAGACUCCUACGGGAGGCAGCAGUGGGGAAUAUUGCACAAUGGGCGCAAGCCUGAUGCAGCCAUGCCGCGUGUAUGAAGAAGGCCUUCGGGUUGUAAAGUACUUUCAGCGGGGAGGAAGGGAGUAAAGUUAAUACCUUUGCUCAUUGACGUUACCCGCAGAAGAAGCACCGGCUAACUCCGUG